Molecule: ribosomal RNA, 429 nt
Filed under: uncultured Delftia sp.
Lineage: Bacteria; Pseudomonadati; Pseudomonadota; Betaproteobacteria; Burkholderiales; Comamonadaceae
Description: bacterial SSU rRNA
Rfam family: Bacterial small subunit ribosomal RNA
Source: RNAcentral
UGGGGAAUUUUGGACAAUGGGCGAAAGCCUGAUCCAGCAAUGCCGCGUGCAGGAUGAAGGCCUUCGGGUUGUAAACUGCUUUUGUACGGAACGAAAAAGCUUCUCCUAAUACGAGAGGCCCAUGACGGUACCGUAAGAAUAAGCACCGGCUAACUACGUGCCAGCAGCCGCGGUAAUACGUAGGGUGCAAGCGUUAAUCGGAAUUACUGGGCGUAAAGCGUGCGCAGGCGGUUAUGUAAGACAGAUGUGAAAUCCCCGGGCUCAACCUGGGAACUGCAUUUGUGACUGCAUGGCUAGAGUACGGUAGAGGGGGAUGGAAUUCCGCGUGUAGCAGUGAAAUGCGUAGAUAUGCGGAGGAACACCGAUGGCGAAGGCAAUCCCCUGGACCUGUACUGACGCUCAUGCACGAAAGCGUGGGGAGCAAACAGG